This 247-nucleotide ribosomal RNA is filed under the name uncultured Oscillospiraceae bacterium. RNAcentral describes it as "partial 16S ribosomal RNA". It matches the Rfam family "Bacterial small subunit ribosomal RNA", at positions 796 to 1041 of the family's 1533-position model. The record is from RNAcentral. Lineage: Bacteria; Bacillati; Bacillota; Clostridia; Eubacteriales; Oscillospiraceae.
CACGCCGUAAACGAUGAUUACUGGGUGUAGGGGGUAUCGACUCCCUCUGUGCCGAAGCUAACGCGAUAAGUAAUCCACCUGGGGAGUACGGCCGCAAGGCUAAAACUCAAAGGAAUUGACGGGGGCCCGCACAAGCAGUGGAGUAUGUGGUUUAAUUCGAAGCAACGCGAAGAACCUUACCAGGGCUUGACAUCCUCGGACGACACUAGAGAUAGUGUUUUCUCUUCGGAGACUGAGAGACAGGUGG